This 253-nucleotide ribosomal RNA is filed under the name uncultured bacterium. Its description in RNAcentral is "partial 16S ribosomal RNA". It matches the Rfam family "Bacterial small subunit ribosomal RNA", at positions 524 to 776 of the family's 1533-position model. The record is from RNAcentral.
GACGGAGGAUGCAAGCGUUAUCCGGAAUUAUUGGGCGUAAAGCGUCCGCAGGUGGCAGUUCAAGUCUGCUGUCAAAGACCGGGGCUUAACUUCGGAAAGGCAGUGGAAACUGAACAGCUAGAGUAUGGUAGGGGCAGAGGGAAUUCCUGGUGUAGCGGUGAAAUGCGUAGAUAUCAGGAAGAACAUCGGUGGCGAAGGCGCUCUGCUGGACCAUAACUGACACUCAGGGACGAAAGCUAGGGGAGCGAAUGGG